GUGACCCACGAGAAAGACUAGUCAACCCAGGAGAUAAGAACCAGCAGGAGGCUUACAGACGGCGAGGGGGUGUGACACAGAAAGAGGGAAGCGGGCAUGACUGACACCCUGGUACAGAAAAGACCAAGGGUCAGGGCUCCGUCGGAAGCCUUCAUCUGUGAAUUCCAUAAUCACCGUAGAGACACGGCUAUAUUGUGCUAUAAGACACAAUCUCUCCAUCUCUGGCCUUACAGAUUUCCCAGCCUGGUUGAGGGACAGACUUAGAAACAUACAAGCAUGACAUGAUAUAAUAAUCACCAUGCUACAAACAGAUGCAAGAGGAAGGCAGAGGAAGGACAUCCAACCCAGAGAAGGGCCCACCAUGGGUGCUGACAGCUUCAUGAUGGGAGAGGAGAGCCCCUAGUCACUCAGCUGCCGUGGCAGGAGAGGAAAACUUAAUGGGCUGAAGAAAGCGAGGAUGCAGUCUGGCUUUGGCUUCUCAGCACGGCCACACGGACAUCUGAGUGUCCACCCCGAACUGUGGUCAGUGAGAAGGAGAAGAUGGGUCUCAGAGGUGCUAAGUGACUUCCCCGAGGCCACCCCACUGUCCCCAGUCGACUGGCCCCAGAACCGGAGCUUCCGGCUUUCCGAGGCACUGCCCUUACCACCUGCAUCCACUGGUCAUCUUCGUAGAUGACCAGAAGACACAGCAGUGUCACCUUGUUUGAACUCAGCUGGGAAUAUACCAGGUGCGCAAUUUAAAUUUUUGUCACUACACGAGUGUCAGCAUGCCUGACCCCCAAAUUACCAGGAGCGUUGAUUUGGGGCUUACAGAUUAACUUUAGUGAAUAGGCAAAUUUGCAAACACAGAAUUUGCACAUAAAAAGGAUCAACCAUACCCAAGAGUGGAACCACUGGGUCACAUGGUAAUUUGUGUAGCUUUCUGAAGAACCACCAAACUGGGUUCCACGGUGGUGGCACCAUUUUGCAAGCCUGGAGGAUUUUUAAACUCAGAUUUCUGUUUAUUAUAAAUAACAGAACGAUGAAAAGCUUUGUGCGUGAAGAUUUAUGUAAAUCAAUGAUUACUUCCGAAAAACUUGAUUGAAACGGAAUUGCUGAAUCAAAGGAGUUUUUAAUACUUUGAGGACAGGUCAAUACGUUAAUAUUUGUAAGGCACCGAGAACAGGGACCUGGUGAAUAGUGUUAUUAUUUAGUGCUAAUUAAAGAAAUUAAAUAUUAAAUAAAUCACGCCAGGUUCAACUCUUUCCCACUCCCGGGAGAGGAGCACACACAUAGCACAGGUCAUUCGGGGAGACAGGCACACCGGGCAGGGGGAAGGGGGUGUUGGGGGGUCUGAUACGGAAGAGAAGACGGUCAGCCGUGUUCCAAGGCCAAAACUGCCCUCAGCCAGAGAGGACACUUCAUCUUUCCCAUUUGUACACAGACACCUGGUGUGUGUCCACCCACUCAACAUUUACUCCAGAACUGAAUCUCUCCUCUGUUUAAAAAUUCAUCAUUUUGUUUUAUAAUGAACUAAUAAUACGGGUUCGUUGCAG
This is a long non-coding RNA of Panthera uncia (snow leopard), 1535 nucleotides long. RefSeq lists it as uncharacterized. The transcript is spliced from 3 exons. NCBI's taxonomy places the organism in Eukaryota, Metazoa, Chordata, Mammalia, Carnivora, Felidae. The record is from RefSeq and is a predicted model, not a curated record.